GGCCCGGCUCAUUUUCUUAAGAUGAUUAUACAAACAAAAAUAAAUUGUUUCUCUAGAAAUUAAGAUGCAGCCAAGUCCACAGCAUUAGCAGUGGGACUUUCCCAGACUGGGCCCAUGGACAUACAGACCAAAUGUCAGAGAAAUGUGAUGAAUCUAAAGUGUGUAUGGCUUAGUAGCUUACCGAUGUCCCACCAUGAGCCCAGUA
RNAcentral lists this unclassified non-coding RNA (205 nucleotides) under Hevea brasiliensis (rubber tree). Lineage: Eukaryota; Viridiplantae; Streptophyta; Magnoliopsida; Malpighiales; Euphorbiaceae. The record is from RNAcentral.